GAUGAAGAACGCAGCGAAAUGCGAUAAGUAGUGUGAAUUGCAGAAUUCAGUGAAUCAUCGAAUCUUUGAACGCACAUUGCGCCCUUUGGUAUUCCUUAGGACAUGCCUGUUCGAGCGUCAUUUAAACCUUCAAGCUAAGCUUGGUGUUGGGUGACUGUCCGCUUCACGGCGGACUCGCCUCAAAAUUAUUGGCGGCCGGUACAUUGGCUUCGAGCGCAGCAGAAACGCGAACUCGGGCCCGUCGUAUUGGCUCCCAGAAGCUAUCUUCACAAUUUUGACCUCGGAUCAGGUAGGGAUACCCGCUGAACUUAAGCAUAUCAAUAAGCGGAGGA
Molecule: unclassified non-coding RNA, 332 nt
Filed under: soil metagenome
Description: partial contains 5.8S ribosomal RNA, internal transcribed spacer 2, and large subunit ribosomal RNA
Rfam family: 5.8S ribosomal RNA (bases 1-120)
Source: RNAcentral